This is a long non-coding RNA of Cavia porcellus (domestic guinea pig), 2594 nucleotides long. RefSeq lists it as uncharacterized. The record is from RefSeq and is a predicted model, not a curated record. The transcript is spliced from 4 exons. Lineage: Eukaryota; Metazoa; Chordata; Mammalia; Rodentia; Caviidae.
UUCCUAGUUUAAGGAAAACAAUCCAUUAAAGCCAUAAGGCCCACGAUCCUAAUUCAUCAAACUGAUUCCAGUUUUAUUCUUAUAUGUGUUUUCUCUAAGGAGAUUUUGCUGAACAGCCAUUGUGAAAAGCCUGUGCUUUUUUUUUUUUUUUUAUUAUUAUGUACUAGAGAUUGAACCCAGGACUGUGAAUCGCACAGCUGGGUAACUGGUCUCCCAGCUCAAAUCCAGGCUUCUGAUAUUUCUGAUUACAAAUAAAUGCCAUAGUCCAGCGGCGUGUAAUCCCUGCCCUGAUGGAAGCCUAGGCAAGAGGCUUGCCAAGAGUUCAAGGCCAGCUUGGAUUACAUAGGAAACCCAGCCUGAAUUGCACAGCAAGAGCCCGUCUUCAAGACAAAGCAAAACAAAACAAAAACAGUAGUGAAAAUGUUACCGGACUGAGUCUUCAAGGUUCCCAAAACUUGGAUGAGGACUUAACCCACCCUAAGGAUAGACUGGAGAUUCGCGAACUCUUUAAGUGAAAUAAUAAUUUUUAGGAUGUGUCAGAGGGAAGGGAAGGAUCUACUUGGUAGAGCUUUUAGACUCUGAAGAGUGAAGUGCAGAACGCUCAGAAAAAUGGGACACCUGAGUCCUUGGAAACGAUCUCAAGAUGGACAGUGCAGGCUGUGCGCCCCCGCUGUGUCACCUUACCUAUCUGCCAGGCAAUGUCAGGGUGUAAACCACUUAAUAUGUGUGAAGUUGAGAUCUGCUGCCAGCUAAUAUUGUUGCUUCCUUGAGGGUGGAGGAAGCCCAGUUUACAGGUGAGAAGGACAGGUCCAGAGCCCGCGUGGACAGGCUUACUGUGUCUUUAAGACCUUCAGGAAUUUUUUUUUUAAAGGAUGUCAGCCGGAAGAAAAAGGAUUACGGUCUACAUUCCUCAAAACCCAUCUAGUACACCUCGCAGGAUUCAUUGGCUAUCCUGAGUAAGAAUUGCCUUCUGGAAAGCCCCUGGGCUUCGGGUGACUUUGACUGCUGCUCAGACCCUGAAUCACCACCGACAAGGUUUACGGGGACAUCGCUCACGCCAGAGAGCCACGUGGGGGGAAGUGAUAAACAGUUAUUUACAGACACGGAAGGGUGAGACCCCACUAAGCAUGACGUACGUCAGAACCCCGAUGCUCCAGAUGUCUGUGCCAAGGGAGACGGGGAUGCCUUGGAUCACUUCGGGGGCGGCAAACUCGGGGUUCCCCAGCAGGUGGUGGAUGUGGAAGUGGCCUGAGAUCUGGACAGCAUCUUCCAAGUCAAUGAGCUUCACUCGAGGCACUGGGAUCCGAAGGUCGAUGAGUAGGUUUUCAGGCUGCGGGGAGGCAGGGAAAAGAGAAGCAGGUUCCAGUGAGGCUCUUAAUGAAAACACACUUCUGCUGUUCUGUCAUGAAGUCCUCAGCCACUGGAGAUGCCCUGGGCCAAGGCACAGAUGACUGCGCCCAGGGGGUGUGAACUCACUAAACUCUGAGUGUGGUUGCACUUUGAAGAAGUUGUUGGCCAUUGACAAUUUUGGAAGGAGGGUUUUUUGUUUUAGUUUUGGUGCUGGGGAUUGAACCCAAGGCCACAUGCAUGCUAAACACUGAGCUACACACCUCAGCCCCAAAUCCUGUCUUCUUAACUACCCUUGCUACAGAGGACUCUUUUUGAGCAGCAUGAGGGGACAUUUACUGAUUUCCCUCUGUAAAAUCAGAACAGGUUGUUAAAGCUCUCUAACCGUCUCUUGCCCUGAUCUCAUGGCCUCUGGCGUGUUCUCAUUCCUUUAUUAACAGUGCAUUUAAAUUUUGUCACAAUUUAGCUUCUGUUUAUAUGGAUUCUAAUCUAAGUAAGUAGACUGAAGUUCAUAUUUCUUAGGGUAAGGACUGGAAGGUGGGACCAGGCUUUCUGCUGCCAGGGCACCUUUUUCUCACUACCUUUAUGUCCAAAUGUGCCACCCUGCAGUUGUGAAGGUACUGCAGAGCCUCCAUGAUGUCUCGGAUGUAGAAAGCCACUUUCUCCUCCAUCAGCUCGUCAUGAUUCAUAAGAUAGUCUAAGAGCCGGCCGUCAUCCAUCCUGAAAGGAGAGAGGGAAAGGAGAGGGAGGCAUUGUGAAGAAUCAGAAAGGUGAUGCACGUGGAAGCUUUCGAGUCUCUCUUGCAGGUGAAGAUCAAAACUACAAUCCAUGCAUGCGUUAGAACCCAACGACAGUGCAAUGUUCGGGACUAAAAUAAAGUUACGAAUGUGGAGAAGGAAAGAAAAGCCUUGUGUGAGAAGGAUUUUAAAAUGCAUUCCAAACCCGUGGAAUGUAUUGACGCAAAGCACAAACCCCGAUGUAAACUGGGGACGGGGUUGUCACGUGUGCACUACUCUGAAGGGGCCACAUUCACAGGGGUGGGUGGCACAUGGAAGAUCUAUGUACUUUUCUCUAAAGUUUACGUACACCUGCUCUGAAAUUUUAUUUAAAAGUGCUCUAAAAUAUGAAUUAAUUUUUAAAAAUUGUUUAUAAGGAAAAAGUUCUGAUACCCCUUUAUAGAGGGUUAGUUUGCAUUUCUUGGGGGUAAGGACUGAAAGAUUGCAAAAUAAAGAUACCCUUUAACCAGA